GAUGAAGAACGUAGCGAAAUGCGAUAAGUAAUGUGAAUUGCAGAAUUCAGUGAAUCAUCGAAUCUUUGAACGCACAUUGCGCCCGCCAGUAUUCUGGCGGGCAUGCCUGUUCGAGCGUCAUUACAACCCUCAGGCCCCCGGGCCUGGCGUUGGGGAUCGGCGGAAGCCCCCUGCGGGCACAACGCCGUCCCCCAAAUACAGUGGCGGUCCCGCCGCAGCUUCCAUUGCGUAGUAGCUAACACCUCGCAACUGGAGAGCGGCGCGGCCACGCCGUAAAACACCCAACUCCUGAAUGUUGACCUCGAAUCAGGUAGGAAUACCCGCUGAACUUAAGCAUAUCAAUAAGCGGAGGA
RNAcentral lists this unclassified non-coding RNA (353 nucleotides) under soil metagenome. Its description in RNAcentral is "partial contains 5.8S ribosomal RNA, internal transcribed spacer 2, and large subunit ribosomal RNA". The stretch from base 1 to 120 matches the Rfam family "5.8S ribosomal RNA", at positions 35 to 154 of the family's 154-position model. The record is from RNAcentral.